Long non-coding RNA from Siniperca chuatsi (mandarin fish), 1115 nucleotides. RefSeq lists it as uncharacterized. The record is from RefSeq and is a predicted model, not a curated record. The transcript has 3 exons. Lineage: Eukaryota; Metazoa; Chordata; Actinopteri; Centrarchiformes; Sinipercidae.
GAAAGAAAGACAGAGAGUGAGGGAGAGAGAGAGAGGGAGGGGUAAAAGUUAAAUUAUCACCUCUGAAAUUGCUGGAGGAAACAGCUAGCCCAUUCUGGGUGUGAAGUAUCACAUUUGCAGGUCAUCUCAAGAAAGAAAAGAAAAGAAAAGGAAAAGCUACAGCCUUUUCCUCAAAGCUUAUCUGUUGUGCUGCUGGGAGCACCUGCUGCUUUGCUAAUUGAGCAGAGGACGGGGGCCGGUGAGAGGGAGGGGACAGCAGAGAGGAAAUGGAAACUCGCAUCCUUGCUCUUCCUCUCUCACUCUCUCUCUCCAUGCUGCCACCCCUGCUCUCCUCCCAUCACCCUCUUGCUUUUUCGCUUCUCCCUACAUUUCUUACUCUCCUCCUCUUUCUUUUCAGUCCUCCUGUUUUCCCCUCCCCUGUUGGCUCUCUCCCGAACUCCCUCUAGAAAGGGACUCUUGACAUAAAAUGUCUUUAAUUAUUUUCCUCUCUCCUGGCUCUGUCUCCAGGACUCCAGGCGAGAGUGGAGGAGCAGCAGGCCCGAGCUUGUUUUAGGAUGACAAAAGAUUCACCCCGGCCACCAGGCCCUGGGGAGUCUGGGAAGGAAGUUGUCAAGAGGCUCUCCUCACCUGCUCAGCAGUAGUCUGACUGUGUUGUGGCAGAGCGAGGAGGAGGCAGAGAUAGCGAGGGACUGCUGCUCUCUGUGUGGGCUGUGCCAGCUUAGCACAAAAGCACAACGUUUGAUUGGGUUGCACAGGAGGUCUAGAUUACUGUAAUGCAGUUUGGUGUGGGCUGUUAGCAGUUGUACUGGCUUAAAUCACAAUUUUAAAAGAAAAACCUAUAAGUUUAAUCUUCAACCUCAAUUAGGGAAAAACAGAUGAAUUAAGAGUGUCGUCUACAGAACUGUGCCUGUGGCUGGUAAGGAUUUGGUGUCUUGCUCAUGGGCACUACAACAGGGCAGAUAUAACCAAAGCUCUCCAGAGGUGGUCAGCCUUACCAGCAGUAGUCCAGAAGAUGUGGGGGCAGUACAGGGAUGAAGAUGUGCUGCCAGUACAUAGGGAAUAGCACAGCAGCCGCACCAUGGACACAUGCAGUUAACUACAGAGAGAGAAUGAAG